Molecule: ribosomal RNA, 253 nt
Filed under: uncultured bacterium
Lineage: Bacteria
Description: partial 16S ribosomal RNA
Rfam family: Bacterial small subunit ribosomal RNA
Source: RNAcentral
UACGUAGGGUGCGAGCGUUGUCCGGAAUUACUGGGCGUAAAGAGCUCGUAGGUGGUUUGUCGCGUUGUUCGUGAAAACUCACAACUCAAUUGUGGGCGUGCGGGCGAUACGGGCAGACUGGAGUACUGCAGGGGAGACUGGAAUUCCUGGUGUAGCGGUGGAAUGCGCAGAUAUCAGGAGGAACACCCGUGGCUAAGGCGGCUCUCUAGUACGGUACUGACGCUGAGACGCGAAAGCGUGGGGAGCGAACAGG